Molecule: ribosomal RNA, 482 nt
Filed under: uncultured bacterium
Lineage: Bacteria
Description: bacterial SSU rRNA
Rfam family: Bacterial small subunit ribosomal RNA
Source: RNAcentral
YUACGUGCCAGCAGCCGCGGUAAUACGGAAGGUCCAGGCGUUAUCCGGAUUUAUUGGGUUUAAAGGGAGUGUAGGCGGUCUGUUAAGCGUGUUGUGAAAUUUAGGUGCUCAACAUCUACCUUGCAGCGCGAACUGGCGGACUUGAGUGCACGCAACGUAUGCGGAAUUCAUGGUGUAGCGGUGAAAUGCUUAGAUGUCAUGACGAACUCCGAUUGCGAAGGCAGCGUACGGGAGUGUUACUGACGCUUAAGCUCGAAGGUGCGGGUAUCGAACAGGAUUAGAUACCCUGGUAGUCCGCACGGUAAACGAUGGAUGCCCGCUGUUAGCGCCUGGCGUUAGCGGCUAAGCGAAAGCAUUAAGCAUCCCACCUGGGGAGUACGCCGGCAACGGUGAAACUCAAAGGAAUUGACGGGGGCCCGCACAAGCGGAGGAACAUGUGGUUUAAUUCGAUGAUACGCGAGGAACCUUACCCGGGCUUGAAC